UUCGAAAAGCUCAUCCCUGACGCAUGAGCAGUGCGACAAGCUCACGGUCUUAACGUGGUUGACAUGGUGAGCGCAAGCGCUAAGUUUCGGGGCCGGAGAGGAUCUGAAGCGCCAUUGUUCUGCGUUGCAGUACGAUACGAUUGUUACCAUAAGAACGUUUGAAUGGGAAAAGAGGAAGACGCCUCAGUGAACUGGUUUGGUGAAGAGGCAACAGGUGCUUACUCCACUGUGGGUGAACUCAAAGCUACAGCAUGUCAUUCAGUGUGGUUAGCCUUCAUCCUGGGUGCCCAGCCUCACGCCUCCAAUUUCCACUUCUGCCCGGCUGAAGGCUCCUCAGAGACGCUUGGUUGGAGCUCUGGGCCACUGGGCCUCUGGACCUCUGAGUCCUCCACUUCUGUGCAUUGGAUAGAGACAGAGGGAGCUUCUUUACCCAGCCCUACCCAUUCUUGGCCCCAGUCCGCCUCACCAUACACUCCCACCUGCUCGAUACCUCAGAAGAGCUUUCAAGUGCUCUUUGAAAGGGAAAAAAGCAGAAAGGGAAGAAAUCAGAGACUGUACUCUUCCAGGCACUCAAUAGCAUGGCACUAGGCUCUCUCAGCUCCCAUGACACCACUCUCCCGCCCUCUCCUCUGUUCUUGGGUGUUUCACUCAAUUUAUUUUUCUGUAUUUUUUUCACUUUGCUUUCUCACUCUUACUGCCUCUUACAGCCUCGGACUGCCUUCUGUUUCUUCUUCUGGCAUUUUCUUAGUCUUAGAACUGCCUUAGCCAUAAACCAGGCCCCUACAUUUACAGCCUACACACAGAAAAAGGGACAGUGAGAGAGAUGGCAAAUACGUGCAUGUGGAAAAAUAAUUGUAAAGGCCCACUAGAACAGAAUGAGCAAUACGUCUAUCACAUCUUUAUAAUACUGUUGUAAUUUUAGCAGUUGACGGAGAAUCAUAGCUUCCACAAAAACCUGCUCAGUUGCACCUCAAGGAGUAAAUCCUCUAAUGACCACUGCCCACUGGCCAACAAAGCAAAGGACCCAGUGCUGAAGUGAAAUAAAAUAUUGCCGUCAGGCUAUAAAGAAAA
Scatophagus argus is the source of this 1071-nucleotide long non-coding RNA. RefSeq lists it as uncharacterized. The record is from RefSeq and is a predicted model, not a curated record. Lineage: Eukaryota; Metazoa; Chordata; Actinopteri; Scatophagidae. The transcript has 3 exons.